UCAUGAAUUUGCGUGUCAUCCUUAAAAUUGGAAUGAUACAGAGACGAAUAGCAUGGCCCCUGUGCAUGGAUGACACACAUUCAUUUUCAAUGAGAUACUCUGUGAUUUU
Small nuclear RNA from Onychomys torridus (southern grasshopper mouse), 109 nucleotides. NCBI's taxonomy places the organism in Eukaryota, Metazoa, Chordata, Mammalia, Rodentia, Cricetidae. The record is from RefSeq and is a predicted model, not a curated record.